UUAGAGGAGCGGAGGUGGUACAUCCAUUGCCGAUCAAUCUGCAUCGUAUUACGUGAAAAAUGAACAUAGUGCUUCGUAUUAGAUAAAGAACUUGAUCAAUAUUAGGUAGGGGAAAAGAGUAAAUGUGUUUAUAAUAUUUAGUACUUGCAAUAAACAUGAGGUAAAUAAACUACUGUUCAAAGAAAUAGAAUUAUUGUUAAAUUAGAGUGGUAUGAAAAUUAUACCAGUCAACCUUCAUUUCAUCCACUAGUUCGACACAAAUAAAAAUGCUAGAACUCUUGAAGAAGACAACAAAUAUACACUAAAGACUACAGACGCUC
This 320-nucleotide long non-coding RNA is filed under the name Setaria viridis. Its description in RNAcentral is "long non-coding RNA (SVIR_LNC001360)". The record is from RNAcentral. Lineage: Eukaryota; Viridiplantae; Streptophyta; Magnoliopsida; Poales; Poaceae.